Molecule: long non-coding RNA, 759 nt
Organism: Nicotiana attenuata
Lineage: Eukaryota; Viridiplantae; Streptophyta; Magnoliopsida; Solanales; Solanaceae
Exons: 2
Source: RefSeq, a predicted model, not a curated record
UCGUCUUCUUCAUCAGGACCCCCGCCCCCCCCUCCCCAGCGAGCUUCCUCUUCACCCAUCGAACACCAAAAAUCGACCGCCCGUCCUGCUUCUUCUUCGUGCUUUGAACAGAGACCCAAAAAUCGGAGUUGUUUCUAAGCUAAACCCAGCGACCCUUUUAACGAUCUUCAUCAGAAAUAGUAGCACACGCACACACACGAAAUAGAGGGAGACGAACAGAGGAGGUUUCGUUCUCAGUGUUUGGAUUUGCCAUACAGUUUUCCUUUCAAUUCCAUAGAGAAUAUGUAAAAAUACAAAAAUUCAGUCCUUUCAUUCUUCUUAAUUUGUUUCAAAGAUCAGAAAAAUGCAAAAAUAAAGGUUUCGUUCUUCUUCUGGAUUCUCGUUGGGAGUUCGAUCAGUGAGGCUUUCGUUCGAGGUCGCCGGCGAGUGUUUCACUUGAAAAUUAUCCAAUUGUUGUAGUCUGAAUUCAGAUCCAUCAACACAGAUCCAGGUGCCAGGGCAUCCGAGUGAGAGCUGAUCUUUGCCUUCAGAGUAUUUCACGGAGUUAGCAAAGUAGUUGCACGGCGUCCGCAGCCCUGCCUUUCUCCUUCCUAUCUUCUAGUAUUUUUAUUUAUCAAACUCAUUUUGUAUUGAGUAGACAGUGUCGGAUUGUAUUCUAGUGGCUCAUGACUAAUGACACCAGGAUCGGGGCAGUGUCUGAUGUUUUGCGUAUUUAUUUCCGCUUAUUUUGAAAUAUUAAAUAUGAAAGAUUUGUGAUUA